GACGAACGCUGGCGGCGUGCUUAACACAUGCAAGUCGAACGGAAAGGCCCUGCUUUUGUGGGGUGCUCGAGUGGCGAACGGGUGAGUAACACGUGAGUAACCUGCCCUUGACUUUGGGAUAACUUCAGGAAACUGGGGCUAAUACCGGAUAGGAGCUCCUGCUGCAUGGUGGGGGUUGGAAAGUUUCGGCGGUUGGGGAUGGACUCGCGGCUUAUCAGCUUGUUGGUGGGGUAGUGGCUUACCAAGGCUUUGACGGGUAGCCGGCCUGAGAGGGUGACCGGCCACAUUGGGACUGAGAUACGGCCCAGACUCCUACGGGAGGCAGCAGUGGGGAAUAUUGCACAAUGGGCGGAAGCCUGAUGCAGCAACGCCGCGUGCGGGAUGACGGCCUUCGGGUUGUAACCCGCUUUCGCCUGUGACGAAGCGCGAGUGACGGUAAUGGGUAAAGAAGCCCCGGCUAACUACGUG
Molecule: ribosomal RNA, 468 nt
Filed under: uncultured bacterium
Lineage: Bacteria
Description: partial 16S ribosomal RNA
Rfam family: Bacterial small subunit ribosomal RNA
Source: RNAcentral